GCACCGAUACAAAUACACGCCAUCAUUACGUACAAUGCACACGUUCAAGGCAAGAUACAAAGAUGCCGAACACCGACACAUCAUUUCACCGACGACCAAACAAACUGCAUAUGUGACGCAGCCGCCAAGGAGGCCCAAAGCGAUAUCCUCGAACUUUAUGAAGGGGGCCAUCUAGGGUUCGAAACCCUUCCCUCGCAAUGCACCCAGUGGUCGUGGCGUAAGUUCGGUGAUUUCUGAUGCAUUUCACUGACUUCCUCGAGCGCACACUUUGAAAGUUUUGAGAACUGAAUUGCACUGCCCGACAUGUUCAAUGGCUUCCGGUGUAUUUCAUCUACAAAUCUAGGCAAGAUCAUGCGAGUAGAGGGUGACAUUACCACCCAAUCUGAAAGCCAGCCUAGCACUGUAUGUGCACAUCACAUCUGUUUGCAGUUUUCUGCAACAGGUAGGUUAAGCCGUUGUUGCACACUUGUCACAAACCUGCUCCCACAACAGUAUAAUACAGAGCCGAUGGAGCUCACUAAAAAGAAGAAGAAUUGUAUAGUAGUACAGAAAGC
Molecule: long non-coding RNA, 554 nt
Filed under: Hordeum vulgare
Lineage: Eukaryota; Viridiplantae; Streptophyta; Magnoliopsida; Poales; Poaceae
Description: long non-coding RNA (HVUL_LNC016724)
Source: RNAcentral